Molecule: transfer RNA, 72 nt
Organism: Cavia porcellus (domestic guinea pig)
Lineage: Eukaryota; Metazoa; Chordata; Mammalia; Rodentia; Caviidae
Rfam family: tRNA
About the family: Transfer RNA (tRNA) molecules are approximately 80 nucleotides in length. Their secondary structure includes four short double-helical elements and three loops (D, anti-codon, and T loops). Further hydrogen bonds mediate the characteristic L-shaped molecular structure. tRNAs have two regions of fundamental functional importance: the anti-codon, which is responsible for specific mRNA codon recognition, and the 3' end, to which the tRNAs corresponding amino acid is attached (by aminoacyl-tRNA synthetases). tRNAs cope with the degeneracy of the genetic code in two manners: having more than one tRNA (with a specific anti-codon) for a particular amino acid; and 'wobble' base-pairing, i.e. permitting non-standard base-pairing at the 3rd anti-codon position.
Source: Rfam
GGGGAUUUAGCUCAGUGGCACAGUGCCUGCCUGGCAAGUAUGAGAUCCUAAGAUCAAUUCUCAGUACUCCUG